AUACGUAGGGAGCGAGCGUUGUCCGGAAUUACUGGGUGUAAAGGGUGCGUAGGCGGUUUGCUAAGCGGGAGGUGAAAUGCCGGCGCUCAACGUCGGAAGUGCCUCCCGAACUGGUGGACUGGAAUGACUCUGCCGUGGGAGGAAUGUGUAGUGUAGCGGUGAAAUGCUUAGAGAUUACACAGAACACCGAUUGCGAAGGCAUCUCACGAAGGGUUGAUUGACGCUGAGGCACGAAAGCGUGGGGAUCAAACAGGAUUAGAUACCCUGGUAGUCCACGCAGUAAACGAUGAUGGCUAACCGCUGGUUUAUUCGGAUCAGUGGCCAAGCGAAAGCGAUAAGCCAUCCACCUGGGGAGUACGACCGCAAGGUUGAAACUCAAAUGAAUUGGCGGGG
RNAcentral lists this ribosomal RNA (393 nucleotides) under uncultured bacterium. RNAcentral describes it as "partial 16S ribosomal RNA". It matches the Rfam family "Bacterial small subunit ribosomal RNA", at positions 523 to 918 of the family's 1533-position model. The record is from RNAcentral.